AACGCCGCGUGGAGGACGAAGAUCUUCGGGUCGUAAACUCCUGUCGAGCGGGAAGAAACCGCGGGGAUGAAUAUCCCUGCGGCUGACGGUACCGCUAAAGGAAGCCCCGGCUAACUCCGUGCCAGCAGCCGCGGUAAUACGGGGGGGGCAAGCGUUGUUCGGAAUUACUGGGCGUAAAGGGCUCGUAGGCGGCCAACUAAGUCGGAUGUGAAAUCCCCAGGCUCAACCUGGGAACUGCAUCCGAUACUGGAUGGCUUGAAUCCGGGAGAGGGAUGCAGAAUUCCAGGUGUAGCGGUGAAAUGCGUAGAUAUCUGGAGGAAUACCGGUGGCGAAGGCGGCAUCCUGGACCGGCAUUGACGCUGAGGAGCGAAAGCCAGGGGAGCAAACGGGAUUAGAUACCCCGGUAGUCCUGGCCCUAAACGAUGAAUGCUUGGUGUGACGGGUAUCGAUCCCUGUCGUGCCGAAGCUAACGCAUUAAGCAUUCCGCCUGGGGAGUACGGUCGCAAGGCUG
This 511-nucleotide ribosomal RNA is filed under the name uncultured Acidobacteriota bacterium. Its description in RNAcentral is "bacterial SSU rRNA". It matches the Rfam family "Bacterial small subunit ribosomal RNA", at positions 393 to 896 of the family's 1533-position model. The record is from RNAcentral. Lineage: Bacteria; Pseudomonadati; Acidobacteriota.